UUGAAAGAAAAUUCAGAAACCGGGGAACAAAACGUAAUUUUAAAAAGUUAUGCCACAUCAGCUGCCCGGUCAGCAGCCCCGACCAACCAGAACGCACCAGGUGGCAGAGACGUUGACGUGGGAGGCCACGCAGGAGGGAGUCUCGUGGGUGAUCCGCGUGCGCGCGAUCAAACGGGUGAGAUCCGUUCCCGCACACACGGACGGCCCAGAUAAAAAAC
Molecule: long non-coding RNA, 218 nt
Filed under: Carica papaya (papaya)
Lineage: Eukaryota; Viridiplantae; Streptophyta; Magnoliopsida; Brassicales; Caricaceae
Description: long non-coding RNA (CPAP_LNC014559)
Source: RNAcentral